CCUGCGGGGGGCUGCAGUGGGGAAUAUUGGACAAUGGGCGAAAGCCUGAUCCAGCCAUGCCGCGUGUGUGAAGAAGGCCUUCGGGUUGUAAAGCACUUUCAGUGGGGAAGAAAGCCUUGGGGCUAAUACCCUCGAGGAAGGACAUCACCCACAGAAGAAGCACCGGCUAACUCCGUGCCAGCAGCCGCGGUAAUACGGAGGGUGCGAGCGUUAAUCGGAAUUACUGGGCGUAAAGCGCGCGUAGGCGGUCUGAUAAGCCGGUUGUGAAAGCCCCGGGCUCAACCUGGGAACGGCAUCCGGAACUGUCAGGCUAGAGUGCAGGAGAGGAAGGUAGAAUUCCCGGUGUAGCGGUGAAAUGCGUAGAGAUCGGGAGGAAUACCAGUGGCGAAGGCGGCCUUCUGGACUGACACUGACGCUGAGGUGCGAAAGCGUGGGUAGCAAACAGGAUUAGAUACCCGGGUAGUC
This 465-nucleotide ribosomal RNA is filed under the name Vreelandella stevensii. Its description in RNAcentral is "partial 16S ribosomal RNA". It matches the Rfam family "Bacterial small subunit ribosomal RNA", at positions 338 to 795 of the family's 1533-position model. The record is from RNAcentral. Lineage: Bacteria; Pseudomonadati; Pseudomonadota; Gammaproteobacteria; Oceanospirillales; Halomonadaceae.